CAGUCGCCACGGUAAUACGGAGGGUGCAAGCGUUAUCCGGAUUUAUUGGGUUUAAAGGGUCCGUAGGCGGAUCUGUAAGUCAGUGGUGAAAUCUCACAGCUUAACUGUGAAACUGCCAUUGAUACUGCAGGUCUUGAGUAAAUUUGAAGUGGCUGGAAUAAGUAGUGUAGCGGUGAAAUGCAUAGAUAUUACUUAGAACACCAAUUGCGAAGGCAGGUCACUAAGAUUUAACUGACGCUGAUGGACGAAAGCGUGGGGAGCGAACAGGAUUAGAUACCCGGGUAGUCCCUGUCUCUUAUAC
This 301-nucleotide ribosomal RNA is filed under the name uncultured bacterium. RNAcentral describes it as "partial 16S ribosomal RNA". It matches the Rfam family "Bacterial small subunit ribosomal RNA", at positions 509 to 807 of the family's 1533-position model. The record is from RNAcentral.